Erpetoichthys calabaricus (reedfish) is the source of this 645-nucleotide long non-coding RNA. RefSeq lists it as uncharacterized. The transcript has 2 exons. NCBI's taxonomy places the organism in Eukaryota, Metazoa, Chordata, Cladistia, Polypteriformes, Polypteridae. The record is from RefSeq and is a predicted model, not a curated record.
UGAGUUCUGAAACUGAAGGCAGCCACCACUGCUAUGCUGGAGUCAAUGAUGAUAAAACCCAACAGAUGAAUUGUGCACAGGAACAAGAUCGGUGCUACAAAGUUCACACUAAAGACAUGAGAGUAAUCCGAGGAUGUGCCUCUGAGAGCACCUGCAAAUCCCCCAAAGGCUUAUAUGCGUAUUUCAACUUCACCCAGGAAAUGAAAAUUAACUGCUGCAAUCGAAAUCUCUGCAAUGGCGCAGCACAGCCAGGAUGGAGCGGCCGCCUUCUGGUUCUUCUUCUUGCCCCUGUUUUGCUCCUCAGACUCUGCUAGACUCAUCUUCAUCAUUUUAAUGCCAUACUGAAGACAGCGCUUGGGCUUCAUCGCCUGUAACUUGAUGGCUUUUCUCUCAGACGCGCUCACUUGUGACAUGAAAGCCUUUGAUGGAGAUGGCGUGUCUGACUGGCCUGUGCGCUUCAUUUGCCUUAAAAUGAUUAUUUACAGGGAGAGCUAAAAAGCUGCUUGUUAAUUAAAAAUGCAAUUGUGUGAUGUCGCUGAGCCUGUGGUUCUCCUGCUCUUUGACACGGCAGGCAGGCCUUUUGUAUUGCGAGUUGAUGACUGGCCUCGUUCUCAAAAAUAAAAGGCCACUUUCAUGAUGCAGUGC